This 460-nucleotide ribosomal RNA is filed under the name uncultured bacterium. Its description in RNAcentral is "partial 16S ribosomal RNA". It matches the Rfam family "Bacterial small subunit ribosomal RNA", at positions 338 to 795 of the family's 1533-position model. The record is from RNAcentral.
CCUACGGGCGGCAGCAGUGAGGAAUAUUGGUCAAUGGACGCAAGUCUGAACCAGCCAUGCCGCGUGCAGGAAGACGGCUCUAUGAGUUGUAAACUGCUUUUGUACGAGGGUAAACGAAGAUACGUGUAUCUUUCUGAAAGUAUCGUACGAAUAAGGAUCGGCUAACUCCGUGCCAGCAGCCGCGGUAAUACGGAGGAUUCAAGCGUUAUCCGGAUUUAUUGGGUUUAAAGGGUGUGUAGGGGGUUGGAUAAGUUAGAUGUGAAAUCCCGAGGCUCAACUUCGGAAUUGCUUCUGAUACUGGUAGGCUAGAGAGUAGUUGCGGUAGGCGGAAUGUGUGGUGUAGCGGUGAAAUGCUUAGAGAUCAUGAAGAACACCGAUUGCGAAGGCAGCUUACCAAGCUACUUCUGACGUUGAGGCACGAAAGUGUGGGGAGCAAACAGGAUUAGAUACCCCAGUAGUC